Sciurus vulgaris (Eurasian red squirrel) is the source of this 104-nucleotide small nuclear RNA. The record is from Ensembl. NCBI's taxonomy places the organism in Eukaryota, Metazoa, Chordata, Mammalia, Rodentia, Sciuridae.
GCUAGCUUCAACAAUGUAUAUACUAUAAUUGGAAAGAUACAGAAAAGACUAGCAGGCCCCUGAGCAAGGAUGGCCUGCAAAUUCAUGAAGAGAUCCAUACUUUU